Chinchilla lanigera (long-tailed chinchilla) is the source of this 794-nucleotide long non-coding RNA. The record is from Ensembl. NCBI's taxonomy places the organism in Eukaryota, Metazoa, Chordata, Mammalia, Rodentia, Chinchillidae.
CUGUAACCACCUCUCCUCGGACUACUGCAGAGGAAGCAUGCAGUGGAGUCAACCCCGGGUCCCCAGGAUAAAACAAACUCGGAAGAAAUCACUGUAUCCUGUGCUCGUGAUACCUAGUGUGAUGUGUGAUGCGUCCAGGUGAUAGACAAAGAUCUGCAAGUGCACAUCGGAUGGCAAGAGCAGAGGCUGACAACUACAAGGACCCUUUUGAGCAAGAGAUUAUAUAUCAUACCAUAGAAAUACAUAAAAGACAAAUUAUCCCUGAGAUCAUCACGCCUCCAUUGACCUGCUCAAGGUUUAAAGCCAGCUGCAAUUAGAUGCCGCGGUCACAGAUCUGCCGACGGCUUAGAGCGCCUGCAUGUACUUUAAUCCUGCAGAAAUGGAACCAGGGUGGAUUUUGCAGUCAGGAAGAGAUGGAGAGGGAAAACGAUGUGACACGCCACCAACUUACCACGUUUGCACAUUCGCCAGCUGCUGUGACAGGACUCUCACGGACGGACGGCGCUCAGCCCAUCGGUCAGGCCUGACUCUCAGACACAGCGACAGAUUAAGAAAUCUAUUUCACCGUUCAUUGUAAUAAGAGGAAUUGAAAAUCUAUCUGUGAUGGGAGCAUGGUGGUUUUAUUUAUUUUAACAGUUAAAAAGCAUGAAAGACACCUGAUGCAAAGAGUAUGGGGCGCAGUGGAAAUGACCACAGUGUGAGUGAUUAUUGUGCCUUUUUCUCUAUGGUUGUGUGUCCUUGCUGAAUGAGUCCCAGGUGCAGGCACCGUUGGGAGCACUUUGCUUACACAAUCC